This 877-nucleotide long non-coding RNA is filed under the name Myripristis murdjan (pinecone soldierfish). RNAcentral's name for it is "lncRNA (ENSMMDG00005021366.1)". Lineage: Eukaryota; Metazoa; Chordata; Actinopteri; Holocentriformes; Holocentridae. The record is from RNAcentral.
UGAUGAUGUAAUGAUGUGGUAUAACACCCCCUCCCCAAAGCAAUUAUUCCUUUCUAACUCUGAUGUUAAUCUCUUGUUUAUUGUUUUUGUUUUUCCAGGCUUGUAACAAUGAUCAGUACAUGGCGCUGCCCAGAGAGGACAUGACCAGGAUGCUUAGGCAGAGAGGCUUUAUUAAGGACCAAGACACUGAAAACACAGAGUUUACGUCUCAUCAGGAGGAAGAGGAGGAUCCUGGUGACUUUCUGACCUCUAGUGUGGCCUCUGAAGCCCCCAGACUGAUCUGAUGGACACUGUGGAUUUACCACCAUCAGAGGUUCUCUGCUGCAUCCAUGGAGAUUUUCUCCUGAACGCUCCUGAGACCACAAUCACUGACUGAAUCUUUCAGUAUUUGAUAUGGACAGGGGUUGUGUUUAGGCUAUGCCUAGCGAUUUCUGUUGCCAUGGCGACAGCAUUGCCUUAAUUGUGCUGAAAGCUAUACCCACACAGAAAUAUACACACAUUAUGGUAUAACAUGCAUACAUUGAGUGUGUGUUUGUCUACCUGAAUGAGUAGAAUGUAAAUGAAUUCACCUUGUUUUCAGUUAACAUGUUGAAAUGUAUUGCAGACUUAAACAUGUACAUUUUGGGGGAAAUUUUCCUCUUCUCACCUUUUUGGUAAGAUAUAAGUCAGCGAAAACUCCUAGGUGUUAAAAAAAAAAUUAACCCUCCGGUUAAUUUCCAAUUGUCUAACAUUUUUUAAUCAGUUGUGGUCAGUUUAAUCCCAAAAAUGUAAACCUCCAAAACAUGAUUUUAAUAAAAAGUGUUAACCAAGUUUAUGCAUCAGGUAUUUUAUGUGUCUUCUUGACUACCUAAAUAGCCCUUUAAAUAAAACAGCAACA